RNAcentral lists this ribosomal RNA (250 nucleotides) under uncultured Planctomycetia bacterium. Its description in RNAcentral is "partial 16S ribosomal RNA". It matches the Rfam family "Bacterial small subunit ribosomal RNA", at positions 524 to 773 of the family's 1533-position model. The record is from RNAcentral. Lineage: Bacteria; Pseudomonadati; Planctomycetota; Planctomycetia.
GACGAACCGUGCGAACGUUGUUCGGAAUCACUGGGCUUAAAGGGCGCGUAGGCGGUCGGGCAAGUCCGGGGUGAAAUCCUGCAGCUUAACUGUAGAAGUGCCUUGGAUACUGCCCGGCUCGAGGGAGGUAGGGGUCUGUGGAACUUCUGGUGGAGCGGUGAAAUGCGUUGAUAUCAGAAGGAACGCCGGUGGCGAAAGCGGCAGACUGGACCUCUUCUAACGCUGAGGCGCGAAAGCUAGGGGAGCAAAC